Molecule: ribosomal RNA, 253 nt
Filed under: uncultured bacterium
Lineage: Bacteria
Description: partial 16S ribosomal RNA
Rfam family: Bacterial small subunit ribosomal RNA
Source: RNAcentral
UACGUAGGGGGCUAGCGUUGUCCGGAUUUAUUGGGCGUAAAGAGCGUGUAGGCGGCCAGGUAGGUCUGCUGAGAAAACUCGAGGCUCAACCUCGAGACGUCGGCGGAAACCAUCUGGCUAGAGUCCGGAAGAGGAGAGUGGAAUUCCUGGUGUAGCGGUGAAAUGCGCAGAUAUCAGGAAGAACACCCGUGGCGAAGGCGGCUCUCUGGGACGGUACUGACGCUGAGACGCGAAAGCGUGGGGAGCGAACAGG